Apteryx haastii (Great spotted kiwi) is the source of this 186-nucleotide unclassified non-coding RNA. The record is from Ensembl. Lineage: Eukaryota; Metazoa; Chordata; Aves; Apterygiformes; Apterygidae.
CUGACAGCCCUGGGAGACUGGAAGCCCUCUGUUUACCCACAGAACAGAUACAGCAUGACUAGCGAAAAUGCAGCCUUCCACAAACCACCCUGCCAAUGUAUCUGAGCCACAAUCUAGGUGGCCAGGGAAACCUUCAGGAGACUACAGCUUAUUUUAGUUUCUGAGGCUAUGCAGUCCUUCAUCUCU